AUUGAACGCUAGCGGGAUGCCUUACACAUGCAAGUCGAACGGAGUGGCGAACGGGUACGUAAUGUAUCGGAACGUGCCCAGUAGCGGGGGAUAACUACGCGUAAGCGUAGCUAAUACCGCAUACUAUUGGCGCGGCCGAUACCGGAUUAGCUAGUUGUAGGGGUAACGGCGCACCAAGGCGACGAUCCGUAGCUGGUUUGAGAGGACGACCAGGAACACUGGGACGGAGACACGGCCCAGACGCCUACGGGAGGCAGCAGUGGGGAAUUUUGGACAAUGGGGGAAACCCUGAUCCAGCCAUGCCGCGUGGGCGAUGAAGGCCUUCGGGUUGUAAAGCACUUUUGGCAGGAAAGCGGUACCUGCAGAAUAAGCACCGGCUAACUACGUGCCAGCCGCCGCGGUAAUUC
Molecule: ribosomal RNA, 407 nt
Filed under: uncultured bacterium
Lineage: Bacteria
Description: partial 16S ribosomal RNA
Rfam family: Bacterial small subunit ribosomal RNA
Source: RNAcentral